GAACGAACGCUGGCGGCAGGCUUAACACAUGCAAGUCGAACGGUUGUAGCAAUACAGCAGUGGCAGACGGGUGAGUAACACGUGGGAACCUUCCUAGGGGUACGGAACAACUCAGGGAAACUUGAGCUAAUACCGUAUACGUCCGUGAGGAGAAAGAUUUAUCGCCCUUGGACGGGCCCGCGUCGGAUUAGCUAGUUGGUGGGUAACGGCCUACCAAGGCGACGAUCCGUAGCUGAUCUUAGAGGAUGAUCAGCCACACUGGGACUGAGACACGGCCCAGACUCCUACGGGAGGCAGCAGUGGGGAAUCUUGGACAAUGGGCGCAAGCCUGAUCCAGCCAUGCCGCGUGAGUGAAGAAGGUCUUCGGAUUGUAAAGCUCUUUUACCAGGGACGAUAAUGACGGUACCUGGAGAAUAAGCCCCGGCAAACUUCGUG
RNAcentral lists this ribosomal RNA (435 nucleotides) under uncultured bacterium. RNAcentral's name for it is "bacterial SSU rRNA". It matches the Rfam family "Bacterial small subunit ribosomal RNA", at positions 27 to 507 of the family's 1533-position model. The record is from RNAcentral.